UGGGGAAUAUUGGACAAUGGGCGAAAGCCUGAUCCAGCCAUGCCGCGUGUGUGAAGAAGGUCUUCGGAUUGUAAAGCACUUUAAGUUGGGAGGAAGGGCAGUAAGCGAAUACCUUGCUGUUUUGACGUUACCGACAGAAUAAGCACCGGCUAACUCUGUGCCAGCAGCCGCAGUAAUACAGAGGGUGCGAGCGUUAAUCGGAUUUACUGGGCGUAAAGCGUGCGUAGGCGGCUAAUUGAGUCGGAUGUGAAAUCCCCGAGCUUAACUUGGGAAUUGCAUUCGAUACUGGUUAGCUAGAGUGUGGGAGAGGAUGGUAGAAUUCCAGGUGUAGCGGUGAAAUGCGUAGAGAUCUGGAGGAAUACCGAUGGCGAAGGCAGCCAUCUGGCCUAACACUGACGCUGAGGUACGAAAGCAUGGGGAGCAAACAGG
Molecule: ribosomal RNA, 429 nt
Filed under: Pseudomonadota bacterium
Lineage: Bacteria; Pseudomonadati; Pseudomonadota
Description: Proteobacteria bacterium partial 16S ribosomal RNA
Rfam family: Bacterial small subunit ribosomal RNA
Source: RNAcentral